RNAcentral lists this small nuclear RNA (106 nucleotides) under Salvator merianae (Argentine black and white tegu). Lineage: Eukaryota; Metazoa; Chordata; Lepidosauria; Squamata; Teiidae. The record is from RNAcentral.
AUGCUCACUUCGGCAGUACAUAUACCAAAAUUGGAACAAAACAGAGAAGUUUAGCAUGCCCCUGCGCAAGGAUGGCACACAAAUUUGAGAAGUGUUCCAUAUUGGG